RNAcentral lists this ribosomal RNA (402 nucleotides) under uncultured bacterium. Its description in RNAcentral is "bacterial SSU rRNA". It matches the Rfam family "Bacterial small subunit ribosomal RNA", at positions 355 to 774 of the family's 1533-position model. The record is from RNAcentral.
UGGGGAAUAUUGGACAAUGGGCGCAAGCCUGAUCCAGCCAUGCCGCGUGAGUGACGAAGGCCUUAGGGUUGUAAAGCUCUUUUGGCGGGGAAGAUAAUGACGGUACCCGCAGAAUAAGCUCCGGCUAACUUCGUGCCAGCAGCCGCGGUAAUACGAAGGGAGCUAGCGUUGUUCGGAAUCACUGGGCGUAAAGCGCACGUAGGCGGACUUUCAAGUCAGGGGUGAAAUCCCGGGGCUCAACCUCGGAACUGCCUUUGAUACUGUUGGUCUCGAGUCCGGAAGAGGUGAGUGGAAUUCCUAGUGUAGAGGUGAAAUUUGUAGAUAUUAGGAAGAACACCGGUGGCGAAGGCGGCUCACUGGUCCGGUACUGACGCUGAGGUGCGAAAGCGUGGGGAGCAAACA